GAUGAACGCUGGCGGCGUGCCUAAUACAUGCAAGUCGAGCGAACAGACGAGGAGCUUGCUCCUCUGACGUUAGCGGCGGACGGGUGAGUAACACGUGGAUAACCUACCUAUAAGACUGGGAUAACUUCGGGAAACCGGAGCUAAUCCCGGAUAAUAUAUUGAACCGCAUGGUUCAAUAGUGAAAGACGGUUUUGCUGUCACUUAUAGAUGGAUCCGCGCCGCAUUAGCUAGUUGGUAAGGUAACGGCUUACCAAGGCAACGAUGCGUAGCCGACCUGAGAGGGUGAUCGGCCACACUGGAACUGAGACACGGUCCAGACUCCUACGGGAGGCAGCAGUAGGGAAUCGUCCGCAAUGGGCGAAAGCCUGACGGAGCAACGCCGCGUGAGUGAUGAAGGUCUUCGGAUCGUAAAACUCUGUUAUUAGGGAAGAACAAAUGUGUAAGUAACUAUGCACGUCUUGACGGUACCUAAUCAGAAAGCCACGGCUAACUACGUG
This 497-nucleotide ribosomal RNA is filed under the name uncultured bacterium. Its description in RNAcentral is "partial 16S ribosomal RNA". It matches the Rfam family "Bacterial small subunit ribosomal RNA", at positions 28 to 507 of the family's 1533-position model. The record is from RNAcentral.